RNAcentral lists this RNase P RNA (337 nucleotides) under Burkholderiales bacterium RIFCSPHIGHO2_12_FULL_61_11. RNAcentral's name for it is "RNase P RNA component class A". It matches the Rfam family "Bacterial RNase P class A". From Rfam's summary of the family: Ribonuclease P (RNase P) is a ubiquitous endoribonuclease, found in archaea, bacteria and eukarya as well as chloroplasts and mitochondria. Its best characterised activity is the generation of mature 5'-ends of tRNAs by cleaving the 5'-leader elements of precursor-tRNAs. Lineage: Bacteria; Pseudomonadati; Pseudomonadota; Betaproteobacteria; Burkholderiales. The record is from RNAcentral.
GAAGUUUGCCAGACCGCCGCUGGUGCAAUCUGGGAAACCAGGCACUGGAGGAACGUCCGGACUGCACAGGGCAGCGUAGGAGGUAACACCUCUCCACCGUGAGGUGAGGAUUAGAGCAACAGAGACGAGCCGAUUCAGUUCGGGUGAAACGGGCAAUCUCUACGCGCAGCAAUACCAAGUAGGCACACGUUGACGGGGCCCCCGGAGUGUGCGGGUAGGUAGCAUUGAGCCGGGUGGGCGACCCCCGGCCCAGAUUAAUGGCGGUCACACCGGGCCAACUUGCUUUCGGGCAAGGAAGCCCGGCGCACAGAAUCCGGCUUAUCGGCAAACUUCACAC